AGAGUUUGAUCCUGGCUCAGAACGAACGCUGGCGGCGUGCUUAAGACAUGCAAGUCGAACGGUAAGGCCCCCUUCGGGGGGUACACGAGUGGCGCACGGGUGAGUAACACGUGGGUAAUCUACCUUCGGGCCUGGGACAACUCCGGGAAACUGGAGCUAAUACCGGAUGAGACCACGAGGUCCUCGGACUUCGCGGAAAAAGAUGGCCUCUCCUUGGAAGCUAUCGCCUGUUGAUGAGCCCGCGCCCCAUUAGCUAGUUGGUGAGGUAACGGCUCACCAAGGCGACGAUGGGUAGCUGGUCUGAGAGGACGACCAGCCACACUGGAACUGAGACACGGUUCAGACUCCUACGGGAGGCAGCAGUCGGGAAUUUUGGGCAAUGGGCGAAAGCCUGACCCAGCAACGCCGCGUGAGGGAUGAAGGCCUUCGGGUCGUAAACCUCUGUCGGAAGGGAAGAACGACCGCAAGGUGAACAAUCUUGGGGUCUGACGGUACCUUCAAAGGAAGCGCCGGCUAACUCCGUGCCAGCAGCCGCGGUAAUACGGAGGGCGCAAGCGUUGUUCGGAAUCAUUGGGCGUAAAGCGCGUGUAGGCGGCUUGGCAAGUCGGGUGUGAAAUCCCGGGGCUCAACCCCGGAACUGCAUUCGAUACUGCCUCGCUAGAGUCCCGGAGAGGAGGGCGGAAUUCCCGGUGUAGAGGUGAAAUUCGUAGAUAUCGGGAGGAACACCAGUGGCGAAGGCGGCCCUCUGGACGGUGACUGACGCUGAGAUGCGAAAGCGUGGGGAGCAAACAGGAUUAGAUACCCUGGUAGUCG
This 813-nucleotide ribosomal RNA is filed under the name uncultured bacterium. RNAcentral's name for it is "bacterial SSU rRNA". It matches the Rfam family "Bacterial small subunit ribosomal RNA", at positions 8 to 796 of the family's 1533-position model. The record is from RNAcentral.